This 3031-nucleotide ribosomal RNA is filed under the name Durio zibethinus. RNAcentral's name for it is "eukaryotic LSU rRNA". The stretch from base 623 to 3031 matches the Rfam family "Eukaryotic large subunit ribosomal RNA". Lineage: Eukaryota; Viridiplantae; Streptophyta; Magnoliopsida; Malvales; Malvaceae. The record is from RNAcentral.
GUAAGUUCUAAGUUUAAAGGAUUAUGAGACAUAGCUUGUUUAAGUUGGUGCAGCCGAAGGACCAAUAAGGAUCGAGACCAAGGUCCUAAAGGCACAUAUGAGGCAUGAGUGUGCAGACUAGGGCCUAGGCUAAAGUUCGAGAGCAUGGCAAGGUGAGCAACCUAAUGUCAAGAAUAGGGAGGGCUCGUUAGAAAGAUGGCUCUAGAUUAGCCAGGAGAUAGGCUAGGUGCAUUGGCAUAAAAGAGUUUGGAGAAGCUUGGAGGCUAGCCUAGUGUGCAAGUACUAAAGGUUCUAGAAUGGCCUAGAGCAAGAACAGUAGUAGGUAUUGUAAUGCCCAGAUGAGGAAGGCUCAAGAAUGCCCUAGUUAUGGGUAGAGUAAUAACUAGACAAGGAAGGUUCUGGAACUCAUUAGGCAUGGGCACUUAGCAGGAGUGCCCAGACUCUUCUGACCUAAGGUUCAGCAGGGAGCCUAGAACAAGCUAGAUUCUAUAAAGGCCUUAGCCAAACUAGGAUGCGUUUAGGGGCCAUGGAAAGGUCUAAAAGGCUUACAAAAGCCACACACUUAGAUCAAUAAAGGCCAUAUAUGUUGAGAGCCUCAGGUAUAAAUAGAGGCCUUCCCUCUCAUUCGUAAUUCAUAGGAGAAGCAACAAGAGAAAAGUAAGAGGAACCAAGGCAUAGACUUUUUCAGAUUAGAGACUUGGGGAUAGACAUACGAGUCAAUGUAAAAGCAAUUGUGCAUACCAUCAAGUAAAUAGAAAUAGAAUUGCUUUAACUCUCUUUCCUAGCUUUCUUCCAAGCUCUUAAGGAGCCAAUGGAGUCCAUAACACAAGCGUUUAGCAUAGAGUUAGAAAAGAGGCUAUCUUAGGCACAUACAUAGUAGUUUUUAGCCUAAGGCCACAUGGGUGCUUGGCUUAAACCCCCAGCCUAUGAAACUUACUACUGAUGCUACCCUAAACCCUUGACCUUUUUACCAAGUCCUUGAAUCAAGUAAUGGCUCCCUAAGGUGGUGCAACCAGAAGCUACGAUCAUAGGCUUGGUCUAGCCAAGUUUUUUAGGUAUUUGGUAGUCUUAUGGCCUUUUCUCAUUGACCAUAAAAAUGCCUUUGUCUAGCCAAGCUCGUGCAUGUGUCAUGGGUCGGGGCUUAAGCCUAAGAGUGGAAAGGUCCCAUGUGAAUAGCACUUGCACAUGGGUUGGUCAAUCCUAAGAGAUAAGGGAAGCCUAUCCGAUAGUGCAUCCAGCAUAAGCUACAAAAGGGAAUCAGGUUAAAAUUCCUAAACUAGGACAUGAUGAUUGAUGGCGACAUUAGGUAGUUUAAAGACAUCAGUAGGGGCCUUGGGAAAAGUUUUCUUUUUUGUUUAACAACCUGCCCACCUAAAAAAUGGCUCAAUCAGAAGUAGGGUUUAGUGGCUAAAAAAAGCACCGCAUGUUGCAUGGUGUUCAGUGUGCCCCCAAUAGGCUUUGAAAAUCUAGAGGACUGAGUGCUAUCUGCACUCGAUGGUACUUAUAAUCCAUUAGGUCUCUAAAGUGAAUAGCUUCUUGUCAAUGGAAUAGUGUUGGCAAAGGAAGUCAGUAAAAUGAAUCUGUAACCUCGACAAAAGGAUUAGCUCUGAGGGCUAGGUAUGGAGGUCCCAAUCCUGAACCCAUUUGGUGUUGGUGCACUGCUUGAACUGCUCCAUGGUGAGAGUAGGUCACUACAUGCCAAUCAGGGGAUGGUUGGGAAUGGCACCCUCAGGGGCAUUUUUUAAGUGAUAAAUAGUUGACUUAAAACUAGUACAGACAAGAGGAAUUUGACUGUUUAAUUAAAACAAAGCAUUGCGAAGGUCUCUACGGAUGCUCACGCAAUGUGAUUUCUACCCAGUGCUCUGAAUGUCAAAGUGAAGAAAUUUAACCAUGCACAGGUAAAUGGUAGGAGUAACUAUAACUCUCUGAAGGUAGCCAAAUGCCUCAUCAACUAAUUAGUGAUGCACAUGAAUGAAUUAAUGAGAUUCCCACUAUCCCUGUCUACCAUCUAGGGAAACCAUAGCCAAUGGAAUGGGCUUGGUAGAAUCAAUAGGGAAAGAAGACCUUGUUAAGCUUGACUCUAGUCCAACUUUGUGAAAUGACUUGAGAGGUGUAGGACAAGUGGGAGCCCUCGAGCAAAAUUGAAAUACCACUACUUUUAACAUUAUUUUACCUAUUCGAUGAAUCAGAGGCAAGGCAUGACCCCUUAUUUUAGACCCAAGGCUGGCCUUGCUCGAUUGAUCAUGGUAGAAGACAAUGUCAAGUGGGUAGAUUGGCUGGGGCAGCACAUCUAUUAAAAGAUAAUGCAAGUGUCCGAAAAUGAACUUAAUGAGAAUAAAAAUCUCAUGUGGAACAAAAGGGUAAAAGCUUGUUUGAUUCUAAUUUCCAAUAUGAAUAUGAACUAUGAAAACACGGCCUAUCAAUCAUUUGAAAUUUAAAGCUAGAGGUGUUAGAAAAGUUAACACAAGGAUAACUAGCUUGUGGUAGCCAAGUGUUCAUAGUGACAUUGCUUUUUGAUCCUUCGAUGUCUGCUCUUCCUAUCAUUGUGAAGCAUAAUUCACCAAAUGUUGGAUUGUUCACACAGCAAUAGGGAAUGUAAGUUAGGUUUAGAUUGUCAUGAGAUAGGUUAGUUUUACCUUACUGAUGGCAGUGUCACAAUAGUAAUUCAACCUAGUAUGUGAGGAACCAUUGAUUCACUCAAUUGGUCAUCAUACUCAAUUAAAAAGUUAGUGGCAUGAAGCUACCAAGCUUUGGAUUAUGACUAAAUGCCUCUAAGUAAGAAUCUAGGCUAGAAGCAAUGCACAUGCCGAUCAUUCAAUUGCCAACCUAUAGUCGGGGCCCAUGGACCAAAAGAACAAAUGUCGUAGGUGCAGCCCUCAUGGCAGACAGGCCAUCUAGGACUCUUGGAGCUCAAUUCUCAUUGACCAAUGGGUAGAAUCCUUUACAAAUGACUAAAAUACGUAAUGGGGUAUUGUAAGGGGUAGAGUGGCCUUACUACCACAAUCCACUAAGAUUCAGCCCUUUGUCACUU